This 1208-nucleotide ribosomal RNA is filed under the name Tridacna crocea. RNAcentral's name for it is "16S ribosomal RNA". It matches the Rfam family "Bacterial large subunit ribosomal RNA", at positions 564 to 2798 of the family's 2925-position model. Lineage: Eukaryota; Metazoa; Mollusca; Bivalvia; Cardiida; Cardiidae. The record is from RNAcentral.
GGACUAAGAAGUAGAAAGUAAAAAUCUGUACUUUUUGUAUCAUGGUCUAUAGAGAGCUAUACCAAAGCUGGUUAUUCCCGAAAGUUCAGGAGCUACUUAAGAUGUAAUGUGGUCUGUUUCAUAAUACCUGCUAAGCGUUAAAGUAGCGGCGACAUACCAAUCGCAUGGGCUGAUAGCUGGUUGUUACGAAAACAUACUUUAGUAUGGGGGGACUGAAUUCAGCUUUCUCUAUUAUUUUUAGUGAAAAGCAAAGCAGUCUUAUUCGGGCUGUUGGGGAUAAGCUGAGCAGGAUAGAAAUGUAUGGGUUAAUGUGGUAGGGUUAGUAGUGCCCAACCUUAAAAGUUUUGUCCAAAAUAAUUACAUAUCAAGAUUAAUAGUAUUAUACGUAACCCAUCCAAUUAAUUUUAAUGUAUGGAUUAGUAUAGAAUGAGUAGCUAUUUUAUAUAGUAUGGGCUUUUCUUAUUAAGAAUUUGCCAUUACAAGUUGUAAAUAAAAAUCUAGAUUUUUCUAAGGAACUCGGCAAACAUUUUCUGCGCCUGUUUAACAAAAACAUCUCUUCUAGUAUGAUAUUAGAAGUAGGCCCUGCCCGGUGCCUUGCGAGGUAAACGGCGGUGUUAAACCUUAAAGUAGCGUGAUAAGUCGGCCUUUAAUUGGGGUCUGGUAUGAAAGGGUUGACGUCGGAAAAACUGUCUCGGAAGAAUUAAGUGAAAUUUACUUUUAAGUGAAAAGGCUUAAAUUAAAGUAAAAGACGAGAAGACCCUGUCGAGCUUGAGGGAUUUGAAUGUUUAUUAAACGUGAUUAGGAGUUUGGCUGGGGCAGCAAUGGAGGUAGCCUCCGUUUUUAGCGCAUAGAUCCAUUUUAUCUAAGAUAAUGAAAAAAGAAAAAAGCUACCGCAGGGAUAACAGCACAAGACCGCCUCAGAGGUCGUAUCGAAGGCGGUAAGUGUGACCUCGAUGUUGGAUUAGGGUAAACCUCUUUGUGCAGGAGCAAAGCGGGUAGGACUGUUCUUCCUUUAAUCCCCUACAUGAUCUGAGUUAAGACCGGCGUGAGCUAGGUCGGUUUCUAUCUUUAAAAAAGGCUGGCUCUCGUACGAAAGGAUCGAGGUGGCUAAGAUUUUAGGCUUAUGUUUUAUCCCUAAUAUUAAUUAAUUACCAGCGUUUUAGUGGAAUGGGGUGUAUGAUAGUAUCUGUAGUUGCGUGAAUUACGUU